Long non-coding RNA from Herpailurus yagouaroundi (jaguarundi), 1367 nucleotides. RefSeq lists it as uncharacterized. The transcript is spliced from 2 exons. The record is from RefSeq and is a predicted model, not a curated record. Lineage: Eukaryota; Metazoa; Chordata; Mammalia; Carnivora; Felidae.
AAUAAAUAAAUAUAAAAAAAUGAACAAUGUAAAUAUGAGAGAUGAUGUAUGUGUUAAUUCAGUAGAGGGAAACUUUUCACAAGAUAUACAUAUAGCAAAUCAUUACAUAAAAUCAUAAAAAUAAAAUAUAAAUAAUAUAUACUUAUAUAAAAUAUGUUUAUAAAAAAUUAAAAUCCUAUUCUCUUUUAAAAGGUAUGCAAAAAAUUCUGAGGAAGAUUGACGGUGAUUGUCACAUUUGGAGCUGAUUUAUCAGACCUUUGAACUAUGAAUUACACAAUUUCUUAGCCAACCAGCACCUAUCACAAUGCCUGACACAUAGUAGGUACUAAUUCAAUGUUUUCUGAAAGAAACUAUGAAUAAAACAAAUGAAUGCAUUAAAAUUGGACUUAACUAUGAUGUUUUGUUCUCUCAAGAGUAAACAAUGAAUGCUUAGAGUUGUACUUUUCCCAUUUGUUUCUCUUACUAUUUUCAUUUUCUGCAUUAAGCCAGCUUUUAAGUUGCUUAGUGUCAUUUUACUGAUGCAAGAAGAAUUUGAAUACCAUCUGUCUUCAAAGGACUUCUUUAUUUCAAAAUUCAAAGCACUAUAAACAAGAGAUUUGGCAGAAACCUGUCAUCUGGCCCAGCCUUCCUCCUUCAAGCAGAUGAAUAAUUUAAUUAUCCACUAGGGAGACCUUUGCCCCUUUCAUGACUUUCUCACUUGACUGGUCAAGAAAUCAUUCCUUGUGGUAACUAUGCCCCCCCAUCUCUACUUUAAUUAAAUCCUUUUCUGCUGGCUUGGACAUCCAUAGAUAGAAAGAAUGACUAACCAUCAUGACCCCCGUGAAAACAUUUAUAUGCUUAUAAAAUUAAAUUUUUUUCUUUAGCUAAAUUUCCCAAAUCGAUUUACUUUUACCUCUGGGGCCUAUUUAUAUAGAACCUACGGGAGAGUGUAUAAUCACAUUUGUUAUUUAAAGUAAAUAAACUGAACCUCACAUUAAAAGCUUUAACCCAGCCGUUGCAAUCACAAAAGGGCAAAGAGUGGCUUUAACAAACAUUACCUCGGGCACAGAAUGUGAUAGAGUGUAUUACUAGUUCACAACUUUUUGUUCCCUUCCAUCCUGGCAACAUUUCCUGUAGACAUAGUGUAUUUCUCUACAGCGGUGACUCUGCACUUGACCACGCGACUUCCUUUGGCCAAGGGAGCAGAAGCUUUAAGGAUCUCAGUGAGUUCCAGGACCUCGAAAAGAAGCACUUGGAAAUCAAGAUGGCUAUGAUUCUUCAUCAUUGUGGCCGCCAAGCGAGACAUCUCAAAGCAAAGUGGUCGAAAGUCCAAUAUGUCUUCACGGUCACGCCUAAUAAAAGGACUUAUUUUACCUGCGACCCUCAGA